This 12290-nucleotide long non-coding RNA is filed under the name Arabidopsis thaliana (thale cress). RNAcentral describes it as "long non-coding RNA (ATHA_LNC000330)". The record is from RNAcentral. Lineage: Eukaryota; Viridiplantae; Streptophyta; Magnoliopsida; Brassicales; Brassicaceae.
UCUUUGGAAUCACCACUACCGGUGGUUUGUAUACUGGUACCGGCGGAGGGCAUGGCUUCUUGGGGAUCACAACCGGUGGUUUGUAUAUUGGUACCGGCGGAGGACACGGCUUCUUCACAAUUGGUGGUAUGUAGAUUGGUGGAUGCUCUAUCUUCGGCGGCGGCUUGUAAACCGGAACUGGAGGUGGGUGCUCUAUCUUCGGCGGUGGAAUGACUAUCUUUGGCGGCGGCUUGUGGACUGGAACCGGCGGUGGAUCAACUUUCUUAGGCGGACAAGGCUUCUUCGUUGGUGGUUUGUGGACUGGCACCGGCGGUGGAUCAACUUUCUUAGGCGGACAUGGCUUCUUCGGUAGCUUGUGUACCGGAACGGGAGGUGGGUGCUCUAUCUUUGGCGGGGGCUUGUAAACCGGAACCGGAGGUGGCUUCUCUAUCUUUGGCGGUGGCUUGUAAACCGGAACCGGAGGUGGGUGCUCUAUCUUCGGCGGUUUAGGUGGACAAGGCUUCUUAGGAAUAGGCGGUGGAAGCUCCACCUUUGGUGGUGGCUUGUAAACUGGGACAGGUGGUGGAACCUCUUUCUUAGGCGGUGGAUCGUAAACCGGAACCGGCGGGGGAAUCUCUUUCUUUGGCGGCGGCUCGUAAACUGGUACCGGGGGUGGAACCUCCACAGGAGGACUGUAUUUAGGUGGACAUGGCUUCUUGAGAAACGGUGGAAGUUCCAAAGGUGGAGGUAAAGGGAAAGGAUGAUCAAAGCCCUUAAAAGGAGGCAACUUAGGCAUAGGCCAGAAGAAUUUGGAAACGCAAAUCUCCGGUGAAAAUUUCAGAUUUUGUUUGAGACCCAAAAUGUGUUUAUCCCCGGAUUUGGAUAAAAACACGAUCUUGGUGGACUCAAGGCCGUCGUGAGCCGGACAAGGUGUUCCCGCCGCGCUGUGAAGCUGAGCGUAACACUCCUCCUUUAACGCUCCGUUGUCGGAGACAAUGUCAUGAGGAAUAUUAAGACCAAACUUUCCUUUGUCGUCAAUGUUUCCCGAACCUUUUGUAACAAAAUGGCCUUUAUUCACCUUACAGUCGAUCGUCACUCGAAGUCCUAUAACAAAUAAUAUCACACAUUGAUCAAAUAUAUAUUCACAAAAAAAUAAACUAUAUAGUACAUAAGAUAUUAAUGUAAGUUAUGAGAUACCUGAAAAUGCAUGGGGGGUUUUGAUCUUGCUCUCGGCGUAACCGACAACUUCGACGACACGAGCGAGUGAGAGAGUCGCUGAUAAGAGAACCGACACAAGAAGGAGAAGACACGGAACCGAACCUCGAGGUUCGGGUAAGAUCCUCAUUGGGAUUCUCACCCUCUGAGAUUUCUGACACACUUCCCUUUCGUUUGCUGAAAAUAUAAAGAUUAUAAGAAGAACAAAAACAAACUAUAGAGUAUUAGUGGGGAAGGUGAUGAUAUGAUUAUAGUGAGACUUCUUCUCGUUUAUAUAAUGGUCUUAUCAAAGAUUUUUCUGAAGAUUGAUCGUAAUAAUUACUUCCGAAUUAAUUAACGUUUAGUUUUUUUUUUUUUUACCAACAAUAAUUGGAUUCGGCGGUUCCUAUUAUUUUGUAUUGUGUAUCAUUUAUUUAAUGUCGUCAUGGUCCAUCUUCUCGUUGUUACUUUCGUCUAUGCGGCACUUUAUGAUAUUUUUCAUGCAGGGUGGUUGAAACACAUUGACUUUUUUUUCCUUAAUACGACAACGGCAUUCAAAUUUUAUUUUUUGUUUCCCUCAUCAACGUUAUUGCACGAGACAUAUGCGUACAACUUUUGACACACGAAACUUUUGAUCCGCAAAUAUGGUUAAUUUUAUUGUUAUAGAGAUUGCAGGAUGAGCAUGCAUAUACUUUUUUUUUGUUUCACACACACGCUAUGGUUGAAAAAAGAAACUGAAUUAAUCAGUGCGUGUAUACGGCUCCACCAACCCAAAAUUGAAGCGGAUCACAUUAUGGUUAGAAGAGAAACUUAAAUGUUUUUAUGGAAAAAAUAUAGUCAGUCACACUACUUGUCGGCUUAUAUUUCUUGUCCACUCCGUAUAUAUUUAAGUAAUUAUUUUACCGGAAAUCCAUUACAAUGCUAACAAAUAUUCUUAACAUUUGCAGUUAUGCACGCCAUGAUAUCUACUGUUUUAACCGUAUAUACAUAACAAUAAAAUAAAGUAGCUAGUAGUAAUAAACUAACGAAAUUUGUCAGAGAAGAGGACUGAUAUGAUUUAUUGGCAUUUGGUUAGAUGGAGAUAGAAGUUAAUAUCUAUCAUCAAUCUACUUCGUCUCUGAAGUUAAUUGGCAAGGCCCUUCAAUAAAAGCAGCCAGCUCAAAAGCCUACUAGUAUUUGUUCCUUUUUCUUUUUUUUUUCUGGACAAGCUAAGCUAACUACUAUUUGUUCAUUUUAAUUUGAUGAAAAGUGUAUACGUAAACGUUUGAUUACUAAAUCUCGUUUUGUUCGAAAUGAAUAGAAGAGUUAAAGAACACUUAUGGAAUAUGAGAACGUAUCAACUUGAUAACAAAUAAGAACGCAUAGCACUUUUACAAAUUCAACUUUAUAUAUAGUACAAGAAUUCAGCUACAUAUGUAUCGCCGUAAUUUUCUCUGAAAACUAUUAUAUAUUGUUUUUACACAAAUGACCGAUAUCAAAUGUUGAAAUUCAAAACUUUCACCCACUCUUCAUUGCUAGUUGCUACUAAAUCCUUACACGUUCUUAUGCAAAAUUAGCAAUAUUAUCUGAUGUCGCAAAAUUGACAUGAUGCAUAUAUAUAUGGGUGCAUGCAAUGCAAUAGCUAGUCCGACUUUCGAAUCGAGAGACGACCUGAUUAGAUAUAUAAAAAGAUAAACUACAGUCCUGACUGCGUUCUAGGUGUUAGAAACUUACAACGCGAACUAGAAAUACAGAAUUGAGGAUUAUAUGUGAACGAUAUCAUAAUGUUGGUUGCCAUAUUAAAAGCUACACCUACUCAUCCACGCCCAUUAAUACGGUGGCUUUGGACAGUUGUACAAUAAGAGGUUCAAGUUUAAAGUUAUUAUUGUAUAUUCAUUUUCUGGUAUACAGAAGAAAUAUAUACUUUCAUAAUGUACACAUAAUCGCUAAUAAGGCCCAUUCUUAAAUGUACGUAAAAACAUGUAUUCAAUAGCCUAAUUGUGUAGAUGGUGAGUGUAUAUAGUCGAUCGGGGUAUAACCUAUAGCGACUAUCUAUGCUUCCUUUAUAAAAAUAAAUAUAUGAUCGCUAAUUUAAGCAAAAACAGAUGUGUCUUAUGGAAAAUUCUUUUUCCAAUAGAUAUCUAAUUAUAUAGAGCUUAACUUUUUUUUUUUAUAUUGCAUUUUGCUUUAUGUAUACUAUUAUGAUGUAUAAUAACAUAGUUAAAUAUGCUAUUUAUAAUGAAAACACAACCUUAUCGUGUGUUUUAGCAAAACAAAUCACAAAUUGUCUGUACACAAAAAAUGUUUUUUUUUCAAAACAUUCAGAGUUAAAAUUACAGUAUGUGAUAAAACACUUGAAAGUUAUGUGCGUAUAAAACAAUCAAUGUAUAAUAUAUAUGGAUUUUACAGCCCUAUGUAUAAGAAAGAUAAACCCUAUAUAUAUUAGGUAGCAAACUAGCAAUAAUAAAUGAAGUGAGAAAGAAAAAAAGUAGCAAGAAAAUAAAAAGAUCUAAUUUUUGGGCAACCAAGGAUAUAGUCCCACAUGGUGUGAGUUUUGCGAUAUUAGUUUUGUUAGGUGACAUGCGAUAAAUAUGUGAACUGUAUAUGGUUCCCCACAUUGAUUAAAUCGAAAAUUGUUUUAUGUAUGUAUGAAAAUUUGUUUUUUUUCUCUCCAUAUGUAUGAGGCGUACGUAAAAAUAUCCCGACGAAUGCAGAUCUGGAUGUUGACAUAUUCUCUGAAUAUACAGUUACAUUGUUUAUAAAAACUCACAUAGAUAUAUUGAAUGUAAAGGACAAAAGGACCCAGAGAUUUUUACUACUUGUAGAAGUAAAACACAAAGGUUGGUGUCCAGAAUUGUACGGAUGGAUUGAAAAUGUGCGAAAUAAUAUAUAAAUGCUACUUAUCUAACAAAAGUAAAACAAUGUUGAUACAUCUUAUAUCUGACAAUGUCACCAUGGGUGCAAUGAAUUCGAAUUCAUACCCAACUCGAAGCUAUAUGUACCAAAACAAAAUCGACUGAGGUUAUUCAAGUCAUUUUUUAUUUAAUCAUGUAACUCAAUUUGUUGGAAAGUUAAUAUUAAUUUUUGAAUAGAGACAAAUCUUUUCAGUCUAAUCAUUAACAAUUUGCAAACUCAAUAUACACCAUACAUCCAAAAAAGUCUUAAGCAAAAGAGUCAUCACGAUCGAGGUCACCAUCCUCCUCCAUUUUGCUGAACUGGAGGAAAUGAGUGGGUCGAUGGACUUGGUGAUAGUAUUCCUUGGGGGUUCCGAGUGUCAAGCUGUAGUUUAUGCUCACCGUGUGAUUCGCUCCCAUGAAGUUGUAGUUCCAGGGUCCGUUCUCAGGAACCUAUCAUUCAACAAUGUCUCAUUAUUUCAGUGCUAUAUAAUAAAAUAAUAUCUAUCAAUCAAGGGCAAACACACAAAAAUCAAGGGGUUACUGUGUGUUCUCACCAUGUAGAACCCGAAGAAACGGUCACUCAAGAGCAUUUGGACCUUCUCGUAGUGGGUGGGAAGGUAACCGUGGGGAUUGCUGCCUGUGUCUUUGUUCAGCCGUCCCCAUUCAUAUCCGGCUUGCGUCAGCUUAUAUGACGUCAAAGAGCAUGAGCCCGGAGUGAAACUACAUGUCAGGAUGAUGCAUUUUUCUGCGUCCCAUUGCUUGUUGUUCUCCAGAACACGAGUGUGAAAAGUCACAUCCUACAGCAGCACAAAAAAAACCCAGUUAUUACGUGUAAAAGUUCGUAAGAAAGUAUAAAUAUAUAUGCAUACCUGUGGUGACAACUGAGGAAGCUCGUUAGGCUGUGUGUGUAUCCAUCCCAGGGGCUCUAAAUCAUCCAAGAACUGAUGUUCCGGAAGAGACGACGGCAGUUGAACUUGCUGGUGAUUUCCGCAUUGUGGCACCAUCACAACACAACGGAUUUCCUUCACUUGAGGAUUAUCCGGCGGACUUAUCCCAUAUAAAUAUCCAGCAAUUUGAGUUCGAAGAUCCGCUAUGCAUAUAAACUUCUUCAAUAUGUUCUUUGGCAUGAUGUAGGUGUAUCCAGUUUCCUGUGAACAACAAACAAAUAAGUUUUAGGGACUUUACUUAUUAAUUUGAAUAAGCAAGUCUGAGCGAAUUACCUUUAUGUCAUCUGAGUUCACGUAGAUGUGGUUGACCCUGAGGUAGAGGUUAGUAGCUGAAAUUGCGCGCACACGCCAGUCUGUUUUGGAUCCGAAUGCAGAUUGCUCGUACGGACUAAUGGUGGUGCUAAUCAAUUCAUCACCAUGAACAUUUGUGGUUCUUGUUGUGACUGCAGUAAGCUGGCUCGCUUCCUUUGCCUGCAGGAGGAAACAUAUUCUUUUUAGAGUAACCAAAAUAAAUCUAAUUUCUGAAUGUCCCUGUUUCAAGAACCCUUGAGAGAAGUGACAGUUACAAGUACCUGUUUCUCAAUCUCAGCUAUCUGUUGCCUCUGCUGAGACGGUGGAGUAAUCUCCGCUCCAAGUAUUAUAUCUCUUAUCUCUGAUUGUGUCAGAGCUGAUGUAUUUACUUUGUUCUUCUUCGCGUAGUCGGAAAGGAUGAGAUCUCUAAGAGCAACCUCCACCUGAAUGUAACAAUGAAUCAUCUGAUGUGAGUAAGGAAGGAGGAUAACAACUUCACUAAACAAAGAAAAGAGUUACUUGAUUUUUAUUCAAAAAUAAGUAGAAACUGCAGAUGAAAAGACCAAGCGGUCUAAUCAGAAAAUACAACGGAACACUACUUGAAAGGUGGCGCAAGGGUUACCUUCAUCCAUUGGUCGUCAGUGAGAGAAGGCCAAAUGUGAUUUGGCUCAGUGACAACAGACAUGUCAGGCUUCAAUAACAUCUUUGCCUUCUCAUUGUUUACGUGAAGAGCACGAAGGAUCAGGAUGAGUCUUUGAAAGGCAGUGUACGAAGAAACAGUCAUCAACCAAUCAUCAUAGAUAUUGAAGAGGGCCAUCUGCGGCUCUGUGGCCUUCAAAAUCAGAUCACCAAAUUUUUCUAUCUUAAGACAAGCCUGGAACGGAAGCUGGAGUUCACUUCCCUUUAUAACAAUGUUUGGGAAAUCCAGCAGAUGAACCUCAAGGGGAUCCAACAUUCCUUUACGAGUCACAAUAACUUGUUUUGGCUGUUCUUCAACAGGGAGAGACCGCACAAGUGCAGCGACCUCUUCAGCAGUUUUCCAUUUUGCAAGCUGACCAAGGCGCUUCUGCCCAGCCCAAACGCUUGUAUGAAUGAUCUAGUGAGACAAAGAUCCCCAAUGGGUGUUAUUAUAGUUUUUUCAGAUAAAACAGCGGCUACGUAUUACAAUACAUUUACAUGUUACUAGUGGAAUUUAUGGGAGAGAAAAUUACCUUAAGGAAUAGUUGCCCUGUUCUUGGGUUGAAAAUAAAAAUCACACCAUUGAUUGGCUUUGUUGUUAGAUUUCCUUCAAAUGUCUUGUGGAUUGUGACACGGUAUACAUUGGUAUCAUCAACAAACCAUAUGAUCUGAUUGCUGAAUAUUUCACCAUAGUUUUGAGAUGACAGAUAUGGCUCUGUAGGCUCAGAUGAGUACAACUGCAAACCUUUCCUUAUCCUCUCUCUCAACACGUAUAGAGCGGGAUUUGACUGUAACAUUUAAAGUUUACACAAUAAGAGUCACAUAUGUAAAAGCCAAAUAAAAAUAAGCACACCACGAAUAGAAGUUCUAGUACCUUCAUGAUCUUGUUCAUUGCUUGAGCAAGCAGAGGUUUGGAACCAGGGAACCAAUUACCAAAGGCGGAAUGCAAGUUGUAGGCCAAAUCAAGCCCAAUAAUUACACCUGCGAUGAUUUCAUCAGGAUAUGAGACUUACUGCAGAAAAAAAUAAAUUGACAAACUGAAAAAGGCUAUUAAGUACCCGUUGGAGAUGGAUAGAUAGACAUGUUGUCCGUUGUGUAAUCCAUGAAUUUGGCCUUAGUAUAGCGUUCAAUAUCAUGGGAGUCAUAAUCUCCCCAUCGAAGUUGCACAUCUAUCCAGUACUUGUUACUCGCUUUCUGAUCAAACACAUCCUUGGACUCAGCGAUUAGACUAGGCUUAGACAUUGGCCAUUUAUGGGCAGCAAACAGAAGAACAUCAGCACAAGAGCUAUUCAUUUUGUAACUCUUCCGUGGAUGAAUUGUCUCUUUCUGCACAGUUUCUAUCUCCAAAGGUUCCAACUCUUGAUCCAGUACUUGGCAAAGGUCCAUAACAACACUCUCAUGGAUUUUUUGCCACAAAUGAGCACGGAAUAUCUGAAUCAAAGAUAUUUUAAGAGUAGGAAUCUUUCCGUGCAUAUAUAUUCCUGUCAAAUCCAACUGCACUUGGAAACCCACAUACACAUUCGCUCGAUUAAUUGUUGGCGACCACCAGAGCGUGAAUCUUCUAUUCGGAAUCUGGUUCAGACCAGACCUCUGUGCAUUUGUCAGUUUCUUAUAUUUCAUAGACUCCUCAAAACCAGAUGCCUUCUCCCAAAAAAGACCCUCCCAAGUUGGAAAGCUGGAUUCAUGUAAAGAAAAUUAUUUUAGCAAAAUUGAUACGGAAAGCUGUGAGCAACAAAACAUCAAAUGUCAAUGUGAAAGAAAGAACAUAAUAAAUUGAGCACGAACGAAAAGCAAGACUCACUAUGUUCCUUUAAAUAAGGUGUGCUCAAGAAUACCCUCAACACCUCCAAGAGCUUGGAUGACAUCAGUUCGGUAAUUGUUCAAGUUCCACAAUUUACCAUCAUGCCUCUGGUGUGUCCACCAGAAAGGAUUUUGUUUCAGGGCUUGGUACUGUUUGAAGUCGGUCCGGACCCUCCAACCUUUAUCAUAUGCUAAAGUGUGCCUAUCCUUCUGGAACAGCGUAUUUAUACGCGGAAUUCCCCUAUCCCAAGAGUCCUGUCAAAUAUUUUUUAACAUGAGUUAUUAUACUCUAAAAAUUAAACAUCAAGACUUCCCAAUCAAACUUUUAUUCUACCUUGUCGAUCUCCAAAAGAGAACAAGGCAACACUUAGAUAUCCUCUAAAAAUCCCUACAUCAAGUAGUUGACACACACAAAAAGCUACUUAAAGACCAGCAAAAGAGGAUAAAGCUAGCAAACUGAUAUCUUCUCAGAACUAUAAACUACGUAAAGAGGCAACAAAAUCACGAGUAAAAUACUUACUUCCAGAUCCUCCAGCGUCAGACGUCUAUUUUGGGCCUGAGCUUCCUGCCUCUUCAAAGCAUACUCUGCCCACACCCGCUGUGAAUCAAUAAAUUCGCUUUCCCAUGGUUGUAUGUAACGGUAAAGAUUAGGAAUCAGUUGAUCCUCCUCGUGGCUCAUUCCACUCCUGAAAUGGCUUACACCAACAUCUGUCUGGUUGCUGUACCGAAGGUCACUUUGUGGGAUCAAAAUAUGACCCAUAGACAACAUCCCAAGCCCGCCAAUUUCUUUCGGAGUGUAGAAGAUAACAGGAGGAAAUCUACCAAGGAAAAGAUGAACAAUCAGGUUUAAAAAACAUAACAUACAACUAUGAUACGUCAAACACAAUAUAGUAAGAUAGCAUUUGCUCACCGACUAGGCAUCUUUGAGUUUAGCCCAAUCUUAACCCUCGUUUGGAUUUUAUUUUCACAUUUAACAAGCAGAUCCAAGAGCUCUUGCGUAUGCACAGUGGCUUCACGGAAGUAAGUCAUGAGGCCUGUAUAAAACAAAUAAACGUGCUCAGCUUCAUGCUAGCCAAACAUUAUUAAACGUAAUCAGUACUGCCAAAAGAAAGGCGUACUACAGGAUAUACCUAUCAGAGCUGUAUUCCAUUUAUUGACGAUUUUGGUAAAUGUGGUUGACCCUGACGACAUAAGAAUCUGCCUCACACGAUUCUCAAACACCUUCAUGUGUUCAUCAUCAGCCCGCAGAAAAGCAACUGCAGUCCUCUCUUUAGUUUGUUCAUUCUGCAGAUUCCAGACACCAUCCCUUGUGCUGCUAAAAGCUUCUUGACCCAUCCUGAUUUUUGGAAGCACGCGGACUUCAAAUCCACACCUGCAGGCAAGAAUGCAAACCCCAGUCACUAUUUAAGCUGCACUAUCAAACAAUGACAAAAACAAAGGCCUAGCACUAAUGUACAAGAGCCACUAGAAAACUGAGACAAAACGCAUACAUGCUGAAAAGCAAGUUUGGAUUAUCCUUGCUGUACACGGAGACGAAGCCAUUCUCCCACUCCAAGGUUGUGAUGCUCCGUGGAAGACGAUUCUUCAUAUCCCAGAAGACACUUCUACCAAGAUUGACUGCAAGAUAAAUAAAUAAUGAGACAACAUCUGGUGCAUAAUGAUAGUCUAUCUAAAUAUAAAAAGGAGCAUACCAUCAUGUUUCAUUAACCUCAUCCUUGCAUCUCUUGGCCAGCAUUUUUUAUUGUUAUAUCCCACCAUGUUUUCAUUGUUGGGAUCAGGACGCUCGGUGAGAUGACGUUGAAUAAGAUCCCUAGCCUCUUCAUGGGUAAAUUUAAACAUUAUAUGCACUUUGUCUAUAUACCGAGAAUACAGUCUUAUGGGAUGGCGUGUCUCAACUUUUGUAUCCCAGUAGGUCAUAAACUCAUUAGGCCUCUGCGGUGGCCCGGCAAUUUCACUUGCUCGAGUCAAACCAAGGAGCAAAAGAUCUAACACUAGUCCAUAAAACUGAACAACAAACGAUGCGAACUGCAGUCCCCUAAUGAGUCCAUACGUAUUAGUAUAGCUCAUAUCCUUGUAAGACAGCACCACGUUAUUCUUGCCAGUCACAUAGUUUGCAAGCUUGGGAUCAAGAACCAAACGAAGAAGGCUGAAAGAAACAACAAAAAAGACGUGUUACUACAGAAAGUCUAAGUUCUAUGUCUGUAAUCACAUAAGCAUUUCACAGAGAGAUACCUGUUCAACACUGUCAAAUCAAUCUUCUCAAAGAGUUUUUCAAACUUCGUCUGGAGCAUCACUACACACUGACCAUCACUAGUGUCCCAUAUGCCUUGCAAAUUAUUGAUACCUUGACACCAUUUGUAAACCAGGAGCGGUGGCGGCUCUGAGUCUGCAGGCUUAAUCCAAUUGGGAAACAAGUGGCGCUUGUCACCCUCAUACCACAAAUACUGAUCAAGAUAAGCAUCAGUAAUUUUCUCCAGGGGAUCAAUUUGAUAGACUGGAAUCAAAUGGCUAUAUAGAUCCAUAAACUCUAUGCCAACCUGCAGAAAAAAAUAAUGUAUUCACCAUCAGAAUAACAUAGUAACCUUGAGAUCUAUAUGUUCAGAAAACUGCUCCAGAAUAGGUGCAUUAUCAACUUACUUCUUUGAAGCUAUGCUGAGUGAGAAGAUGACGCUUUAUUCGCAUCAGAGCUUCAUGAGGAUUGUCAUAAGCUUGUUCAAUUAAACCAAGCUCUUCUCUCUGCUGUUGAUUCAACUUCACAGCUGCACUAUAUGAUUCUUUCAGUCUCUCAAGGGCCAAGAUAAGCAACUUUGUGUCAUGUUUAUAUGAUAAUGGAGGGAAUGGGAUUGCUGAAAAUUUUCUAGAUUCCAGCCAAUUUACAGUGGUGCUAUAAAUUGCAAUUCCUUCAUCCGCUGUGACAUAUGGACCAUCUUUCUGAAAAUUAUGUUGUCGUUCCUGCAACAAUUUUACAAGGAAAAUGUAUUACAGAACUGGGCAAUCGAGAAUAAAAGGAACUAAAUUCAAUCAGACAAAAAAAUGAAGCCUCUUCGUAACCAUCUUUGUCAAACAACAAUGAUUUUGAUUUUACGAGUUGUGACAAGGUACAGACCUGUUCUGCCUUGAGCCAAAGACGGGUCAACCGUCCAAGAUUCUUUCUACAAACUGUCUUAUCAACAGUAGCCCCUCUUCUGAUACGUUCACGAUUGUAGUGAGCAACAUUUGUCCACCAAUCAGCUUUAGACUUGACAUAUCGGAGGAUCAUAUUCUCAAUUGCCACAGGUAAUCCAGGGACCUUCCAUGGUAUAUUAGCUUUCCAACACCGCCAUGCCUCACUAAGGUGCUGCAAUAUCGUCCGCGCCUUAUUUUGCUUAAUACCCUCUGCACAUUAGAAGACAGUAUAAACCAACAAGGAAGAGAUAAAAUUAAAGGAAAUCGACCUUGAGAAAAACAAAUCAGUUAUAGACGCAAGAAGCGAACCUGGCAUUGCAUCAACAACAUCAUGCAUGACAGCAGCUCGAAGCUCCAAAUCAAAAUGGCUUUCAACUCUCUGUUUUGUGACUGUUUUGGCCACUCCCUUUGAGUGACGCCCCUCAAAUUGACGUGCAAGCAGAUUCCCUAACCAUCGUUCUAGAAGAGGAACUAUUCCGCGAAGGAAAAACAACCAUACCCUCCACAUUGGAGCCCAAAAUCCACACCCUGGUCCUUUACCCACAGGACCAGUAUUGAAACGGUAAUAGAUCAAGUGUUUCAAAUCCUUGCACAUCCUGAUUUGUCUCAUAAGCCUGUACUUAUAACGAUACAUACCUGUCAAUUGCCCAACAUGGGAGAAAAUAUAUUGCAGGCCAUCAGCCAAUUGAAAGGCAUCAACAUUACCAAGUCGGAACUGGACAUUUGCAUCAACUACAAGUUUUGUCAGCCGGAGGAUCUCACGGCAGAGAUGGAAAGCAUUUCCAAAACGCGACUUCUUUCGUUCCUUGGUUGUCAGAGUUUUCACAGGCUUGAGGUUGAAGUUAUAAUCAAGGUGCAGGUAGUUCAAAUUCUUCCUGUGAAUCAACAGGUUCAGCAUAUUAUACCCCUGCCGGCAGACUUGCAGACCCACUUCAACCCAAUCCAGUUCGGUGCUCUGAAAAAACUUUGUAGCUGCAAGAGAUCGAAACAAAUGCUUCUUCUUCUGAGCCUUAGGGGGUCUAUGGUGCAGCUCAUUCAGUAGAUAACAUUUCAAAAGCUUCUGGUAACUAACCCGAACUUUGACAGGAUAUGCUGGAGGACUGCAGAAAAUGAGAUAACUAAGAAGUUAAUACAAUGUCUAGUAAAUUUCAAAAGGGGAAAGAGAACCACAGUAGCAUCAGAAAAAUUAGCUUACCAGUGCUCCUUAAACCACUCUGCAACAAGGGGUAUAUCUUCAGCCCGCCGAGUCCUCCCAGACCUCAUAUUGAAAGGCCGAGGGGCAAACAACAAUGAAAUGCCAGGAGCUGUAGUGUCAGUGUAGAGUGGCGAGUUAUUUAGCAAAGGUUCCAGUCCUUCUGGU